Molecule: ribosomal RNA, 253 nt
Filed under: uncultured bacterium
Lineage: Bacteria
Description: partial 16S ribosomal RNA
Rfam family: Bacterial small subunit ribosomal RNA
Source: RNAcentral
GACGAACCGAGCGAACGUUGUUCGGAAUCACUGGGCUUAAAGGGCGCGUAGGCGGGCUGUCAAGUCUGGGGUGAAAUCCCACGGCUCAACCGUGGAACUGCCUUAGAUACUGACGGCCUCGAGGGAGAUAGGGGCGAGCGGAACUGUGAGUGGAGCGGUGAAAUGCGUUGAUAUUCACAGGAACUCCGGUGGCGAAGGCGGCUCGCUGGAUCUUUUCUGACGCUGAGGCGCGAAAGCUAGGGGAGCGAUCCGG